CAGGAAUUCUAAGGGGAUAAGCUUCUCUGGAAGAGUUUUACUGCGUUGACUGCGAUCAUGAUAGAGGGAUUUGAGGUAAACUGGGUGAGAGAGGAACCUCAACAACCACCCCACUAGAAAGGAGGUUUGUUAUUCCCAGAUAUUUGAUUCCCAAAAAUGUUCUAUAAAUAUGUAUUUUAAAACAUAUAUGACAUUAUAUAUACAAACCAAAUAGUGUG
Paramisgurnus dabryanus is the source of this 218-nucleotide non-coding RNA. NCBI's taxonomy places the organism in Eukaryota, Metazoa, Chordata, Actinopteri, Cypriniformes, Cobitidae. The record is from RefSeq and is a predicted model, not a curated record.